GGGAUGUUAAACGACUCGUUUUCUGUGAGUCGACGUGUAGGAGGCAUAAAUCGAAAAAUCGAUCGAUUUCUUCUCUUUUUUUCGGCCCGCGGCUGCAGCAGUUGCAGAGCUCAAAGGAUCUGCGCAUUCCUUUAAGACAGCGGCCCAGUUGGCCCACCCGUCCUAUUUCAAAGGUUGCUAUCAGGAGCACACCAAUAAUGCAUUUUUUUAAGUUAAGUUGAUAUAAAAAUGAUGAUAAACAAAAUAUCAAAGAGCAGGAUUGUGAACCUGUAAAUUCCCAAUAGGCAAAAUGUGUCGGUGUUGUUUUAAUUAGGAACGGCAGUUGAUGAUGCGCGCCUCCUCUUUGCAACGAAAUUGUUUAAGCCGGACAUAAAACCAUUUAAGCUGUCCAGGCAUCAGUGGUGAUAGCAACUUUGUCAGCUGAGGACAGGAUCUCGCGGAGGGAGGCUGCUGCUUCGCGGUACAUUUUCUCCAGCCUCACAGUCAUCGUUUGGCGACAUGGCACUGUGUAGGUUGGCUCGAGAAAUGAAAUCAGAUUGCGUAACCCAGUCCCCUCUACUACGCUCAUGGGCAGCAUAUCUCCGGCUAUCAUCUUAGCUAGCAACCCGCUGAUUCUUUCAGCCCGGCGGCUAUCACAGGAUCUCACCGUAAAGUUUGCGAUGCUGCCUUGCUGGCUGGAAGGCUUGGGAUGCCUCCUUGCCAGGUGAUUCAACAUCACGGUUGUGGACGAAUGGUACGCAAACUUCAUGAGGCAUAAUUUACACUGAACUGUUCCGUCAUCAAUCUUCAUGAAACUAUCCCACACCAGGCUUUUAAGUGAAGAUGCCAUUGUCAUGAAAGGACAAAGGAAGAGAUCGCUCUUGGGAGACGUAGCGGUGUAGCAGAACAGAAGUGACCGUUAGAAAAACAACACAGCUACGUCUCCCAUUUGAAAAAAAAGAGAAGGAUUUAUUGUAUUUUGAUAAUUUUUAAUUGUUUAUUUUGAAAGCAGAAAUGAUUUGUAUGUAAAAAAUAAAUAAAAUUCAUCGAUUUCUAUUUUUAGAGUCGUUUAGA
Gadus macrocephalus (Pacific cod) is the source of this 1053-nucleotide long non-coding RNA. RefSeq lists it as uncharacterized. The transcript has 2 exons. NCBI's taxonomy places the organism in Eukaryota, Metazoa, Chordata, Actinopteri, Gadiformes, Gadidae. The record is from RefSeq and is a predicted model, not a curated record.